UCGCCAGGUGCUCCGUAAAAUACACACCUAGGAGGAGGAAAACAGAUUCAGAAGAAAAAGCAUUUUUAAGUGAAGAUCUAUUGUAAUUCAACUAUCCUGGUAAGACAAAAAGUUUUCAUUUUAAGAUUUAAAAUGUUGUAUGUUCCUGUUAGUUUUGGUGUCAGAACUAGCCUUUUCCUGCAUUGACGACCUAACUUUAGAGUCUGUUUGCAUAGUUUUGCAAAAAUAAUUUUGGAUUAUUUGUCCAAAAUCCCUAUAAAUAAAUCAUUUAAAUUAAAUAUAUUUUUUUAAUCCUUUUUAGGACUUCUUGGUUAAACGUUUGUAUGUUUUGUGGUUUGAGUUGCAAUUGUUGACAAUUUUUUUGUCCCCCUGUGUUAGUUUAGAUUAAAUCUGUAGUUUUAUUUUUCCUCUUUGUUAGCUCUAUUUUCUUUUUUCUUUUACUUUGCUCUGUGAAAAUAAAACUUUUGCUUCAUCUAAAAUGUAUGGAAACUCUGUGUAGUUAUCUUUGAUGUCUGCUACGGGGAUAAUGUCCAACGCAUUUCUUUGGCAUCACUGUCACAGACAAAAGGUUUUUGUUUUUGUUUCCUUUUUGCCUCCAUGCUAAAGUUUCUGACCUUAGAUUUUUCCAGUUACUUGCAUUACAAGUAUGUUCCUCUGUUUACUACAGUGUAUUUUACUUUCUGUUGUUUGUUUUUACAUUACUCUCUUCGAUUUAAGUGGCACCAGAUUUUUUUCCCCCCCCCAAAUAGUUUUCAUGACAAGUCUUUGUUGUUCUUUUUGAUAGUUAAUAAGAGAAGUUGUUCUGAGAUAUAUAGUAACAAUGCAAAAACAAAUAAAUAAAAAUGCUGAGUUAAACUUAUGUGGCAGAGCAUUAAUUUCUUCUUUCAGAUUUACAAUAUGACUUAUUUAGUCAUGCACAAACGACACAACAAUCAAUUCAAUCUGGAUAGACUCACACAGAGAAAGAGAAGCAGUUAGAAGAUUUAAUGAUACAGAAACUUUGGCGCUCGAACCCGGCGGAAGACUUGUGAGCUGAGGAUCACCAGGCAGGUGAUCGGUCCAGGUUUAGCUCAGGGUAGUCUUCCCCCCGGUCCGAAUACUGGUGGUGGAACGGAGCCUUGAACGAAGGAGCAGAGAGGGAGCUAGGAAGAUGUCCCUGGGAUGAUGGUGGAGAUGGGGAGGAGGUGGGUCGAAGCACGGCUGACGAGCAAGAAGAUCCGGGGAAGCUUGUCCUUUGAAGGGAUCCGUGAACGACGAUUGGCUGAAGCGGUGCGGCGCACCUGUCCUGAUUGGCUGCGGCGGGAGCGUGGUUACAGGGAUGUCAGGUGACUGAGAAAGGCUGGGAUUUUCUUGCUUCAGCUCUUAAAUGUAAUAAAGUCUCCAAGCUAAGAGAGCUUGAUUUAAGUUAGAAUCACUGUGGAGAUUAUGGAAUGAGCGUCCUCAACACCAUCGCUAAGGAUCCAACUCAGAAGCUGGAGGCAGUGUGCUUUGACUAUAAUGGACCACAUCGGUUAAAGCCUGGGAUGAUGAAAUAUGCUGCAGAUCUAAAACUUGAUGGAAAAACAGCAGGCAGACGGCUUCUUCUGUCUGAAAACAAGAAAGAAGCAAAAACUAUACUCAAUACUAGUAAUAGGGUUUCACAGCAAGAAAACGAGGGCAGAUUUAAGAGGACCCAGGUGCUUUGUGAGGAGAGCCUAAAAUGCAUCUCCUACUGGGAAGUGGAAUGGACAGGCAAGGUCGGCAUUGCAGUGGCGUAUAAAACUGUGGGAAGAGAAUGGGACAGCACUGGUGGUCUGGGCUGCAAUGACUGGUCCUGGAGUUUGCUAUGUUCCAAAACUGAAUGCAUUGCCUUACAUGGGACGGAUCGACUCAAUGUUAGGAUUAAACCGUGCCAAAAAAUAGCAGUAUUGCUUGACUGGAAGGUUGGUACGCUGAGUUAUUUUAAUGUGUCUUCUGGAGGGCUGAGUCUGAUUCACACCUUCUAUGCAAAAUUCACAAAGGAGCUUUUUGCAGGUUUCUGGUUUCAGAAAGGCUGUGUAACUUUGUGUGAAAUAUAAUUUUUAUAUAUAUAUUUUUAAUAAAUGCAAACCAUUUUAGUUUUAGCUGUAUUAUUUUACAUGAAGAGCACAUGUGUUGCGUUUUUGCUUUAUGUUACUUUACUAUUUAAAUAAAUAAUUUGGGAGAGUUGUUAAAACUUAUUAAUGAUAAAGGAAGCAAUGCUUUCAAACACACAACUAACUUCAAUAUGCAAUGUUGAGAAAAACAAUCUAAAUAAAGACCAAGAAAGAUGCAGUAUUAUGUUUUUCUACUUAGGAAACUGAAUGGGUUUUAGUCUAGCAUUUAAAUCUAAACAAAAAUAUAAUACUCUGGGAAAUGAUGACGCUAAAAAACUGGAUAUAAGCUUCAGUAUAAAAGUAAAACCAAAACCUGAUGAAAAAGCUGGAAGUGAUAAAGAGGGCAAUAAAAAAUGUAAAUUGCAGAACAUGCUUGUGUGUGUGUUCUUUGAAAUUGAAGCUUUUCUUGGAAGAUGUUUUAUUAUCAUGUGAAUGUGGUUUGUCUAAAUAGCUUCAGUGAAAUGUCUCUGCUAUAAAACUACAUGUAUCUUGUAAAUUCCAGACAUAAAAUAAAGUGGUUUGAAGCAGAUAUACACACACAUAAAAAAAUAAAAAAUUCC
Long non-coding RNA from Gambusia affinis (western mosquitofish), 2674 nucleotides. RefSeq lists it as uncharacterized. The transcript is spliced from 4 exons. The record is from RefSeq and is a predicted model, not a curated record. NCBI's taxonomy places the organism in Eukaryota, Metazoa, Chordata, Actinopteri, Cyprinodontiformes, Poeciliidae.